RNAcentral lists this ribosomal RNA (253 nucleotides) under uncultured bacterium. Its description in RNAcentral is "partial 16S ribosomal RNA". It matches the Rfam family "Bacterial small subunit ribosomal RNA", at positions 524 to 776 of the family's 1533-position model. The record is from RNAcentral.
UACGGAGGUGGCAAGCGUUACUCGGAAUCAUUGGGUGUAAAGGGCAAGUAGGCGGUCUAUUAAGUGAGGGGUGAAAUCCUGCGACUCAAUCGCAGAACUGCCUUUCAAACUGUUAGACUUGAGGUAGGAAGAGGGAAAUGGAAUUCGCGGUGUAAGGGUGAAAUCUGUAGAUAUCGCGAAGAACACCAGUGGCGAAGGCGAUUUCCUGGUCCUUACCUGACGCUGAAUUGCGAAAGCUAGGGGAGCAAACAGA